CAGCAGCCGCGGGAAUACGUAGGGUGCAAGCGUUAAUCGGAAUUACUGGGCGUAAAGCGUGCGCAGGCGGUUAUAUAAGACAGAUGUGAAAUCCCCGGGCUCAACCUGGGAACUGCAUUUGUGACUGUAUAGCUAGAGUACGGCAGAGGGGGAUGGAAUUCCGCGUGUAGCAGUGAAAUGCGUAGAUAUGCGGAGGAACACCGAUGGCGAAGGCAAUCCCCUGGGCCUGUACUGACGCUCAUGCACGAAAGCGUGGGGAGCAAACAGGAUUAGAUACCCCGGUAGUCCCUGUCUCUUUACA
Molecule: ribosomal RNA, 301 nt
Filed under: uncultured bacterium
Lineage: Bacteria
Description: partial 16S ribosomal RNA
Rfam family: Bacterial small subunit ribosomal RNA
Source: RNAcentral